CGCGCGCGCCAUUGUUGUUUGGCUGGAUGCUUAGGCCUCCUUUGGUCCGUGGGCCGGGAACGGCGGGGAGCGCCUGUUUAGCUGCCCUGCUUUCGAGGGCACCUUGGAGAGCUCGGGCCGAAGUAGGGCGCGGUGUCCCCUGUCCCUUACCCUGCAGCACCGACUCUGCUAGGGCCUCUUCCGGACCCAGGGAUCAAAUACGAGUUUCUUGCGUCUCCUGCAUUGGCAGGUGGAUUCUUCACCACUGUGACGCCUGAGAAGCCCCUCUGGGGAGAAUGAAUACACAAUUUCAGAUUUGCACAGUUUCAUAUUUUGGGGUGUUAGUGCUGCAGUGCUGGAUAAAGCACAAAUUGGAAUCAAGAUUGCCAGAAGUAUCAAUAACCUCAGGUAAGCAGAUGACACGACCCACACAGCAGAAAGUGAAGAGGAACUAAAGAGCCUCUUGAUGAAAAUCAAAGAGGGGAGUGAAAAAGUUGGGUUAAAGCUCAACGUUCAAAAAACUAAGAUCAUGGCAUCUGAUCCCAUCACUUCAUGGCAAAUAGAUGGGGAAACAGUGACUGAUUUUAUUUUCUUG
Long non-coding RNA from Bos taurus (domestic cattle), 574 nucleotides. The record is from Ensembl. Lineage: Eukaryota; Metazoa; Chordata; Mammalia; Artiodactyla; Bovidae.